UGGCGGACGGGUGAGUAAUGUCUGGGAAACUGCCUGAUGGAGGGGGAUAACUACUGGAAACGGUAGCUAAUACCGCAUAACGUCGCAAGACCAAAGAGGGGGACCUUCGGGCCUCUUGCCAUCGGAUGUGCCCAGAUGGGAUUAGCUAGUAGGUGGGGUAAAGGCUCACCUAGGCGACGAUCCCUAGCUGGUCUGAGAGGAUGACCAGCCACACUGGAACUGAGACACGGUCCAGACUCCUACGGGAGGCAGCAUG
RNAcentral lists this ribosomal RNA (256 nucleotides) under uncultured bacterium. Its description in RNAcentral is "partial 16S ribosomal RNA". It matches the Rfam family "Bacterial small subunit ribosomal RNA", at positions 96 to 353 of the family's 1533-position model. The record is from RNAcentral.